This 212-nucleotide unclassified non-coding RNA is filed under the name fungal sp. RNAcentral's name for it is "partial internal transcribed spacer region". The stretch from base 1 to 46 matches the Rfam family "Eukaryotic small subunit ribosomal RNA", at positions 1786 to 1831 of the family's 1831-position model. The record is from RNAcentral. Lineage: Eukaryota; Fungi.
AAGUCGUAACAAGGUUUCCGUAGGUGAACCUGCGGAAGGAUCAUUAAUGUGACUCUGCAUCAAGUGUGGAGGCAUUCCUUGUGCUGUGUAUUGGUUGUAUGUUCUCUGCCCGCAUGCAAUGCGUGGCGGGUUCAUGUUUUACUCGUAUUACCGUAUUUCUUAUUGUACAUUUAAACAAUCGAAAACUGCCAGCAAUGGAUCACUCGGUUCUC